GGGCCCGCACAAGCGGUGGAGCAUGUGGUUUAAUUCGAUGAUACGCGAGGAACCUUACCAGGGCUUAAAUGUAGAGUGACAGGGCUAGAGAUAGCUUUUUCUUCGGACACUUUACAAGGUGCUGCAUGGUUGUCGUCAGCUCGUGCCGUGAGGUGUCAGGUUAAGUCCUAUAACGAGCGCAACCCCUAUCGUUAGUUGCUAGCAGGUAAUGCUGAGGACUCUAGCGAGACUGCCGGUGCAAACCGCGAGGAAGGUGGGGAUGACGUCAAAUCAUCACGGCCCUUACGUCCUGGCUACACACGUGCUACAAUGGUAUGGACAAUGAGCAGCCACAACGCGAGUUGGAGCGAA
This 351-nucleotide ribosomal RNA is filed under the name uncultured bacterium. Its description in RNAcentral is "bacterial SSU rRNA". It matches the Rfam family "Bacterial small subunit ribosomal RNA", at positions 917 to 1271 of the family's 1533-position model. The record is from RNAcentral.